GGAGAAGAGGCUCAGGCAUGGCGGGCUGCAGGUCCGGAGCCCUGCCCCGCGGGGAGGCACCUAAGGCCCCGCGAGAAAUCGAGCGCAGCGCCGGUAGGCUGGCACUGCUGGGGGACCCAGCGCACCCUCCUCAGCUGCUGGCCCGGUUGCUAAACCCUGCUGGUCCGGGUGCUAAGCUCCUCAUUGCCCAGGGAGGCGGGGCCCGCCAAACCCACGCCAACCCGGAACUCUAGCUGGCCCGCAAGGGCUACGCGCAGCCCCGGUUCCUGCCCGUGCCUCUCCCUCCGCACUUCCCCUCAGGCUGAGGGAGCUGGCUCCUGCCUCGGCCAUCCCAGGAAGAGGCUCCCACAGUGCAGCGACGGGCUGAAGGGCUCCUCAGGCGCGGCCAGAGUGGGCGCCCAGGCCGAGGAGGCGCCAAGAGCGAGCGAGGGCUGCGACGACUGCCAGCAUGCUGUCACCUCUCACUAUGACUGUCUGGGAUCUGCUUUAUAAAUAAACAAGCCUAAAGAAGCAAGAAAGAGAUGACAACCUAUGAAAGAUGUCAGAAUGGAUUUAUGGAGAAAAUAAUAAUCCUACAGGCUGGCAUAGAAGGCUUGUUAAGGCACUUUCAGACAUAGCUUCCUACAAUUAUCCUCAUCUCAUGGAAAAACUAGACAGAGGAAAAGAAAAGAGGCAAAUGGAGCUUCCUUUGCUAAGAGCUCAAAUAACUCUCCUCUACAUAGUCUUCUUCAAACAAAAACACAAAGCUAAUUUUCCAUUUACUCUUUGAGAGUUCCACAGAAAAACAAAAAAACCAAGUGACAUUAAUUGAUACUGGACACAAUCUGUGAUAUCAGUGAUUAAGUUGGAGUUAUGCAAGUGGAUCAUUUGCCACCAACCAGAAAAUAAGGAUUCCUUUCAAGUGGAUGUGGGAUAUGAAUAUUUUUUGGCACAAGACAGUAGUUCAAUUGGUAAAAAUUUCAUCAAUGGUGACUUUGGAGAAUGUCAUGUUGCAGGUGAAUGUCCUAACCAGGACAAUAUUCAUGCAUUUGAAAAAUCCAGCGUGAGAAACAUAGAAAGGAAGAAGACCAUCACCAGAGAACGGGGCCAUAGCAGGCAUAAAAGCAACAAUUUAUCAAACUGCCUGAGGGAAUGAUGUAAAAAAUGCUCAUCAAGAAUAUCCAUCUGGACAGGACAAAAAAUGACGCUGAGAGGACUUUGGAGAGUUUCUACCCAGUUUUCCUAAAUUCCAGGAAGUUUUCUUAGUAGAAAUGAUGAUGACUGAAAGCUACUUCAUUUCUGGGAUACUUGAGACUUCUGGUCUGCAUAUGUGACUGUAGGAAGAAAUAAAUAAUUUAUGUUUUGGAAAAACCCUAAUUACCUAAAGAUGACUCUCAUGGAGUAAAAGGGAAAUGGGCAUUUGUCUUGUUUUCCCAAACUCUUUCAGUACUCAGUGAAUAAAAAUUAAGGUAACAACAUGAAUUCAGAAGGGCUUCUUAUUUGAGCUCUCUUACCUGUGCAGACUUAUAUUAUUGUGUGUGUGACAGGCAUUUUCCUUAUUUUAUUUUAUACAAUGUGUGUGAAUAAAUUUUUAUACAACUUCUUUUAUUAAAGGCAGAGAAUGCUUCAGCUUACCUUUGUAUUAUCUACAUUUUGGAAACAGAAUGAAUAUUCAAAUGUUGAAUUAGCUCGAAU
This 1674-nucleotide long non-coding RNA is filed under the name Homo sapiens (human). RNAcentral describes it as "HSALNT0192899". The record is from RNAcentral. Lineage: Eukaryota; Metazoa; Chordata; Mammalia; Primates; Hominidae.